GGUUGUAAUCGCAUAAUUAUUAACUCGGAUAAUAUGGAAGUGGUCGAGACCAUGAACGAAGGAGGACGAUCGUCGGGGGCAGCAAUUUUUGAUGACUGUUUUCACUUAGCUUGCGAUUUUUCUAUUUCUAGCUUCGAGCAUUGUAAUAGAGAAGCAAAUAAAAUUGCUCAUGAACUUGCCAAGUUGGUUAGAUUUUCCUUCAUUUCUAAUUGGCGCGAGGAACCACAUAAUGCAAUUGUACCAAUCCUCAUAAACGAUGUAAUGAUUAUUUCUAAUGAAUAA
This 282-nucleotide ribosomal RNA is filed under the name Triticum aestivum (bread wheat). RNAcentral describes it as "partial small subunit ribosomal RNA". Lineage: Eukaryota; Viridiplantae; Streptophyta; Magnoliopsida; Poales; Poaceae. The record is from RNAcentral.